RNAcentral lists this non-coding RNA (53 nucleotides) under unclassified sequences. RNAcentral describes it as "Li+-I sequence". It matches the Rfam family "nhaA-I RNA". Rfam says of the family: Acidobacteria, Alphaproteobacteria, Betaproteobacteria and Gammaproteobacteria, Verrucomicrobia, cand. division NC10. Downstream gene The record is from Rfam by way of RNAcentral.
GGGUGCGCGGCCGCGUGGCCGUGCAGGGAUCUCGGACGGUCGGGCCGCCGUCC